UGAAGAAAAAGUGUGGGAUUUCAAGGAAUCAAGCAAUCAAAGGCUUAGAAUAGACUGUAAAUAGCUGAUCCUAUCGAGGACUACCGUUGGGUUUGCAUUCUUCAAACUAUAGUUACGUACAGGGAAAAUGAGAAGCUGAUAUUAAAGCCUUG
Non-coding RNA from Theobroma cacao (cacao), 152 nucleotides. The record is from RefSeq and is a predicted model, not a curated record. Lineage: Eukaryota; Viridiplantae; Streptophyta; Magnoliopsida; Malvales; Malvaceae.